RNAcentral lists this ribosomal RNA (253 nucleotides) under uncultured bacterium. RNAcentral's name for it is "partial 16S ribosomal RNA". It matches the Rfam family "Bacterial small subunit ribosomal RNA", at positions 524 to 776 of the family's 1533-position model. The record is from RNAcentral.
UACGGUGGGGGCGAGCGUUAUUCGGAAUUAUUGGGCGUAAAGGGCGCGUAGGCGGCUUGAUGUGUCAAAGGUGAAAUCCCUCGGCUCAACUGAGGAACUGCCUUUGAAACUGUCUGGCUUGAGGCCGGGAGAGGGUAGCGGAAUUCCCAGUGUAGCGGUGAAAUGCGUAGAUACUGGGAGGAACACCGGUGGCGAAGGCGGCAUCCUGGACCGGUAUUGACGCUGAGGCGCGAAAGCUAGGGUAGCAAACGGG